UAUAAGAUGCCAAAAUACCAGAGUAUUGCAGUAUGCAGGUAUCAUUGCAUACUGCAAUUGUCUGGUAUUUUGGCAUCUUGUCUACUGCA
Non-coding RNA from Pelobates cultripes (western spadefoot toad), 89 nucleotides. The record is from the annotation of a GenBank genome assembly. Lineage: Eukaryota; Metazoa; Chordata; Amphibia; Anura; Pelobatidae.